Molecule: long non-coding RNA, 622 nt
Filed under: Phascolarctos cinereus (koala)
Lineage: Eukaryota; Metazoa; Chordata; Mammalia; Diprotodontia; Phascolarctidae
Description: lncRNA (ENSPCIG00000032973.1)
Source: RNAcentral
UAUAAGUAUCAAAAGUCAACAGUUUAAAAAAUUAAGAAACUUCUUUUUUAUUGUUUCAAUUUAGGGAAACCUCAGUGAGAAUGGAGCAAGUGUCCCUAGAGGAGAAAAGGGUGAAACUGGACAGCCUGGAUUUCCAGGACCAGUUGGUCCUAAAGGACAAAAGGGAGAAAUGGGCGAGCAAGGAAAAGUUGGCUUACAAGGAAUAAAAGGUGACAAGGGAGCAACUGGGAUAAAAGGAUCACCAGGAGUGAAGGGUGAACCUGGAGAUUCUGGUCCCCCUGGACUUGUGGGAAAUCCAGGAAUUAAGGGUCAGCAAGGACCAGCAGGCUCCAUAGGACCCAGAGGACCUCCAGGAAAUAUUGUAAGCAUAGAAGACAUCUGUGUUUCUGAUUUAGCAAAAUGAGAUAUCAUGUACUAAAAGCUUUGGGACUAAGCUUGCAAUAAUCCCACCAAAAACAAAAAGAUAGUUUCUGAGAAUUUUAAGAUCUCUUCAUGUGACCACUUUAUUUUAUGUUUUCUGAAGUGCAUGAUUUUCAGAUGGAGCAGGAUAUGAGUCAUCACCUCCACUAAAUGCUUUUGCACCUGCUCACUUGAAGUCAAUAACCAACUGUGACACAAGGCC